UCCCUGGGCUUAGAGACCCAGGGGCAGGGGCUUGGGGCUAGGGCAGGGCACCUUGGUUCCUAAACACACACACACACACACACACACACACACACACACACACAGUUUUCUCCAAAACACAUUCACAAGGAGGCUCGUGUAAGGUCACACUCAUUCACGCAAGCCCUCUCAUAAAGCGUUUCUGGCGGUGCCCUGCCCCUCCCCCUCUCUGCCAGGUUCCUGGCUGGUCAGAACAGUCCUUCUCGCUCACACUUGCGAAGAACCCCUUACGUGCUCACAGGCGAUCUUACUUCUGUCACGGUUAGAGUGACAGGGGGAAAAGAUGCAAAUUGUACAGUGCAGUUUGGACUCAGGGAGGGGCUUCUGUGCUGUCACACGUGGGGGCGCGCGCGCGCGCACACACACACACACACACACACACACACACACAAGCUGUCUCUCCUUUUGACUACACGCUUGUCUCCUAACCUUAAUCCCUCUCUCCAGCUCUCCUACCAUCCGGUCUAACCGCCCACCAGCUUUCCCGACGCCCCCUUCCUCCCGCAGGCUCCCCUCCCCCGCCUCUCCAGAAACUACGCCCCCAGCCCCUGGGUUCGGCCCCUGCCCCCCUCAGGCACGCGCAUGCCCACUCGACUUCCUCUAGCUCAACCCUAUCUGGCCCAGACAGCCGCCAGGCUGCCUCCGAAAUGACCCAGCAUUUGGCCCAGGACCCCACCCUUCACUCAGUCCUGAGCGCUAAGAAUCAGGAGGACAGCCUUCUGACAUCCAGGAGCUGUGUCAUCCGCUGUUUUGGGGGUGAGGGGACCUACACGAUUGUGUGUGCUCCCCCUACUCACCCAUGCCAUCUUUCUUCUCCUUGGACAGGACUCAGUAACACGUCUUAAACUGAGCUUGAACUCCCAAAUCCCAGACCAAGGACGUUUGAUUUUUGCUGACUCCAAACUUUAAGUCUCUUCACUUACUCUCCGUUCAUUCAUUCGUUCGUUCGUCUCUACAAUCUUACACGCCACGCAAGGCGCCUGGCAUUUGGGGUAUAGGAAUGAGUACACUUGUCACUCCAGACCUCUCAGCUCGCAAUAGACGUGUUACACUUUCCUUAUUCGCCCUUCUUUUUUAAUACUUCUUCUCAGUCCUCAGAUCCCGGCGUUCAAAGGCUAUCUGCCCUUCCAGCACAUGGUGUCUUCCUUCCUUCCUUCCCUCCAGCUCAGCACGAAGUGGUUUCAGGAGUGGGGGGUCCCAGUUAUCUCUCGCGGGGACGUGUUGCCUGGAAUCACAGUGAUAUUCAUCUGCAGGGUUUUUUUUUCUAUUAACUUAAUCACAGUGGUUAAUCACAGAAUUCAUUAACUUAGUGAUUUUAUUUUUCACAUAGAUGUCUUGAAUCUGCCUGGAGUCCAUCUUUGUAUUUAGUGUUAGGCAGGGAUCCAGUACUUUGGGCGGCAUGGACUCGGCCAGUUUUCUCAAGGAUGUCUACCAGAUAAUGGGCCCUUCGCCCCAUCGAUUCGUGGCGCUUCCUUAUAAGCUUCCCAGCAUCUCUGAGCAGGAAGAACCGAGAAAGACCAACACCUUGAUUGGAGAAGUGAGUACCCUGACAGGUAGGCUUUGCGGGGAAAGGGGAGGGAGGAGCAGCCAGGCCUGAGUAGGGGGCCACCACCUGCAGGGUCUGUCUCUGGGCCUAGAGACCUCAGUCCUGCCUCAGUGGCUGUCUUUUGCCCAGCUUCUCCCCAUGUCUGUCAUGCCACACCUUCCACCCCAUCACAUUCCUCCACUGUUGCUGCAAAACACUCUGAGAAUGCCCAAGAAGAGAACCAUAGUGAAUGAAGAGGCCAUUCUUCUAUUCUUUCUCUCCAUGCACUGCUUGUAGGUGGUCAGGGGGUCAUGGCAUUCCCCUGGUACCCAGAGCAAGACAGGGACUCCAUACCCAGGCAUGGAGUCAAUGAUGUGUUUUCAUCCUGGGGUUUCAUCAUUAGGAUGGUCCCUGGGAAAGGUGGGGGCCAGGGGAGGAGAAGCACUGAGCAUGGGUAUCAGAGGGGAAGGCAGAAGGGACGGGUCCAAGGAGGGGAGCUCAGCACCAGCUCCAUCCCUUCUCAUUCCCUAUAGGCACUCCACCAACAUUGUUUGGAACAAAACUUGAGUGGGUGAAAGAUGAAAAAUGUGUGUGUAAAACAUGCAGAAGAAAAGACAGCCAACGUUGGAAUGAACUGAGCAACGAGAUAAAUAAAGUGGUAAAGUGUAAAAUAA
Long non-coding RNA from Lynx canadensis (Canada lynx), 2238 nucleotides. RefSeq lists it as uncharacterized. The transcript is spliced from 2 exons. Lineage: Eukaryota; Metazoa; Chordata; Mammalia; Carnivora; Felidae. The record is from RefSeq and is a predicted model, not a curated record.